GACGAACGCUGGCGGCGUGCUUAACACAUGCAAGUCGAACGGAAAGGCCCUGCUUUUGUGGGGUGCUCGAGUGGCGAACGGGUGAGUAACACGUGAGUAACCUGCCCUUGACUUUGGGAUAACUUCAGGAAACUGGGGCUAAUACCGGAUAGGAGCUCCUGCUGCAUGGUGGGGGUUGGAAAGUUUCGGCGGUUGGGGAUGGACUCGCGGCUUAUCAGCUUGUUGGUGGGGUAGUGGCUUACCAAGGCUUUGACGGGUAGCCGGCCUGAGAGGGUGACCGGCCACAUUGGGACUGAGAUACGGCCCAGACUCGUACGGGAGGCAGUAGUUGGGAAUAUUGCACAAUGGGCGGAAGCCUGAUGCAGCAACGCCGCGUGCGGGAUGACGGCCUGCGGGUUGUAAACCGCUUUCGCCUGUGACGAAGCGUGAGUGACGGUAAUGGGUAAAGAAGCACCGGCUAACUACGUG
Molecule: ribosomal RNA, 468 nt
Filed under: uncultured bacterium
Lineage: Bacteria
Description: partial 16S ribosomal RNA
Rfam family: Bacterial small subunit ribosomal RNA
Source: RNAcentral